This 3434-nucleotide long non-coding RNA is filed under the name Homo sapiens (human). Its description in RNAcentral is "HSALNT0214651". The record is from RNAcentral. Lineage: Eukaryota; Metazoa; Chordata; Mammalia; Primates; Hominidae.
CGGCGGAUCUGCUCCUAUAGAUGUCCAGAUUGUUAGACGGUGGGCUUCAUCCGUCCUACCUCGCCCAACCCAGUUGACUAAUAUUUGGGUCGGUGGAGCCCGAAUAAUACAAUAAGAAUAAAACCCAACGACAAAGGCCCUCUCUAACCCGAGUACACCGGCCUCUGGCUUUGUGACAAGCACGUCACUGUUAGGCUAAGCAGAGACUUUGGAACCCCGGUUCUAAAGCUCUCAGAGUGGAAGAGUACCAGGACAUGGGGGUGGGGGUUGGGGCAAAGCUUUGCUCCCUUAGAAUAAUACCAACGUACAGAGUUGCGAUUGGUUAAAAAAUAAAAAAAAAUAAAAAAAAUAAAAAAAAAAAAGAAGUCUUUGUAUUUUAUAUUUGUACAUAUAUUUCCUUUUCUCUGGGGUACAUACUAAGAGAGGAAUUCCUGGAUAAUUCUAUGUCUAACUUUUUAAGAAACUGCCAAACUGUUUUCCAAAGUGGCUGUACCAUUUUACAUUCCCUCCAACAACGUAUGAGGGUUCCAAUUUCCCCACGUCCUCACAAACAUUUGUUAUUGUCUGUCUUUUUGAUUAUAGACAUCCUAGUGGGUGUAAGGUGGUAUCUCUUGGAGUUUUGACUUGCAUUUCCCUAGUGAGUAAUGAUGUUGAACAUUUCUUCAUGUGCUUGUUGGCCUAGACCUUACUUUAAAAAAAAAUAAACUAUUAAGUUUGGGAUAAUUUUAGAUUCACUGAAAAGUUUCAGAGAUAACACAGGGAAUUCCCAUUUACCCUUCACUCAAUUUCCCCUAAUAUAACCUUUAUGUUACCUGGCACAUUUGUGCCAACAAUGGAACUGACAUUGAUAAAUUACUAGUAACCAAACUCCAGACUUUAUUUAGAUGUCAGCAGCUUAUAAUACGAAUGUGCCUGAUAUGGUUUGGCUGUGUCCCCACCCAAAUCUCGUCUUGAAUUGUAGUUCCCAUAAUCCCCACAUGUCAUGGGAGGGACCCGGUGCAAGGUAAUUGAAUCAUGGGGGUGGCUACCCUCAUGCUGUUCUCAUGAUAGUGAGUUCUCAUGAGCUCUGAUGGUUUUAUAAGGGUUUUUCCCCCUCCUUUUGCACGGCACUUCUCCUUCCUGCUGCCAUGUGAAGAAGGACAUGUUUGCCUCCCCUUCCUCCAUGAUUGUAAGUUUCCUGAGGCCUCUCCAGCCAUGCUGAACUGUGAGUCAAUUAAACUCGUUUUCUUUAUAAAUUACCUAGUCUCGGGUAUGUCUUUAUUAGCUGCAUGAGGACGUACUAAUACGGUGCCUUUCAUCCAGGACCCCGUACCACCUAAUAUUUAGCUAUGUCUUCAUGGGCUUCUCUGGUUUUCGUCAGUUUCUUAGACUUUUCUUUUUCAUGCUCUUGGUAGUUUUGAGGGGUAUUGGUCAGGUAUUUUGUUGGCAUAUGUUGUAUGAAUAAGAGCUUCCGUAUGUGAUAAGGUUUCUCUCUGUGGAUGACAUAGCCAUGGGGUCGCCUGCUGCCUCCCGGUUACCCAUACAAACCAUGGAAACAGGAAUGGGUGACAGCCCCACGCUCCCCUGCUGUGAGCCUCCAAUCCCCUGGCUGGCUAAACAGCAGCACCAGCUCCUCCUUCUGUCCAGCCGGACAGAGAGCCUGGAGGAAGCUGGAGUCUGGGUUUCAGUGGCUACAGACAACCCUCCAAAUGGUCAGUUAAGAACCAGGGCCACAUUGUGAGUGGACACUUUCACACUCUGCAGGUGACCACGCAAAGUGGUAGAGCAACUUAUUUUAUUUUUGUCAUUCUUUUGAGGCAGGGUCUUGCUGUGUCUCCCAGGCUGGGGUGCAGUGGCAUAAUCACUGCAGCCUUGACCUCCCACUUUGUUACCUGUUUCCGACGGUGUGACCCGAGUGCGCUUCGUUACCCGUUUCUGAUGGCAUGACCCGACUGCACUUUGUUACCUGUUUUGAUGGUUGUUUCUGAUGGCGUGACCCAACUGUGCCUCGUUACCCGUUUCCGAUGGUGUGACCUGACUGUGCUUUGUUACCUGUUUCUGAUGGUUGUUUCUGAUGGUGUGACCCGACUGUGUUUUGUUACCUGUUUCCGAUGGUGUGACCUGACUGCGCUUUGUUACCUGUUUCUGAUGGUUGUUUCUGAUGGUGUGACCCGACUGUGUUUUGUUACCUGUUUCUGAUGGUUGUUUCUGGUGGUGUGACCCAACUGCACUUUGUUACCUGUUUCUGAUGGUGUGACAUGACUGCGCUUCGUUACCCAUUUCCGAUGGUGUGACCUGACUACGCUUUGUUACCUGUUUCUGGUGGUGUGACCCAACUGUGAUUUGUUACCUGUUUCUGAUGUUUGUUUCUGAUGGUGUGACCUGACUGCUUUGUUACCUGUUUCCAAUGGCGUGACCUGACUGAGCUUUGUUACCUGUUUCUGAUGGUGUGACCUGACUGCUUUGUUACCUGUUUCCAAUGGUGUGACCUGACUGCGCUUUGUUACCUGUUUCCGAUGGUGUGACCUGACUGCUUUGUUACCUGUUUCCAAUGGCGUGACCUGACUGCGCUUUGUUACCUGUUUCUGAUGGCGUGACCUGACUGCGCUUUGUUACCUCUUUCCGAUAGCGGGAUCUGACUGCAUUUUGCAUUCAUGGGGGCACCGUCUGGCAAGGUGAGCUUGUCAGGGAGAGGCCGUAGCCCUCACCACCGCUAAUGACUGGCUACCACACAGAGGUUCCAGGCAGAGUCUAGCUACUGGAGCCAACCAGCGUGGCUUCGGCCAGUUAACAGACCACUUCUUGGAGUCAUGAGGAUUAACUCAGUGAGCCCAUGGAAAAUGCACAAACUAAGCCCUCAAUAAAUAUAGCCUGAUGAACUGCCAUUCUGCCUAUCCGAAUUCUACCCUAAGAUAGAUAAUCAGAGAUGCUAGGAGAAAACAUGAGCAUGUGAGUGGCUAAGAGUAUGGAUUCUGGAGUCAGGCAACCUGGGUUCAAGGCCUGCUGUAGUAUUACCCAAACUUGGGCAAGUUUGUUCAUCUUCUGAAGAGAGCUUCAUUUCUCACCUGGACCUGUAUCCGUAAUAACUGUAUGCAUAUCAUAGCACUGUCAUGAGGAUUAGAUGAGUUAAUACAUGUCGAAUGAUUGGUGCAUAAUAAAUGCUCAAUAAUUGUGAGCUGGCAUUACCCAUUCCAUUGUAUGUGGCAUGACAAUGUGAAACCACUUAAAUCAUUGACAAUAAAGAAAGGGUUAAACAGUCUGCAGUGCAUCCAUGUGAGGGGAGGUUAUGCUGUCUCUAAGUUAUCUAGAAAGAUUUUUACUGACAAGAGAAUAUUAAGUGAAAAGAUCCAUACGGUGUUAUAGAUAGUAUGAUUUCACUUCAUUAAAUAUCUAUACUUGGCUGGGCGCUGUGGCUCACGCCUGUAAGUAAUCCCAGCACUUUGGGAGGCCGAGGU